UUGAAUUAAAUCAACGUGGGUCAUACACUUUGAAAAUGAAAUUCACAUAAUAUGGUGGGACAUACAUUGAUUUCACUCAA
Molecule: microRNA precursor, 80 nt
Filed under: Medicago truncatula (barrel medic)
Lineage: Eukaryota; Viridiplantae; Streptophyta; Magnoliopsida; Fabales; Fabaceae
Description: MIR5269 microRNA precursor family
Rfam family: MIR5269 microRNA precursor family
Source: Rfam by way of RNAcentral